Molecule: ribosomal RNA, 831 nt
Filed under: Pristimantis rhabdocnemus
Lineage: Eukaryota; Metazoa; Chordata; Amphibia; Anura; Strabomantidae
Description: partial 12S ribosomal RNA
Rfam family: Bacterial small subunit ribosomal RNA
Source: RNAcentral
AUGCAAUGUCUCCGACACACCCGUGAAAACGCCCCUCCACCCACUUAGGGGUACGGAGCCGAUAUCAGGCGCAAACGCCCAAAACAUCUAUUUAUACCACACCCACAAGGGCCUUCAGCAGUGAUCAACCUUAAAAAUAAUCGUCAGUUUGAUUUAGUUAAUGCAAACAGAGCCGGCCAACCUGGUGCCAGCCGCCGCGGUUACACCAUGUGACUCAAGUUGACCCCCAACGGCGUAAAGCGUGAUUAAAGAGAGAUUAACUUCUAGGAUUAAACUUAAACCGAGCUGUUGCACGCCUGUUCCUAAGAAAGUCAUAUUCGAAAGAUAUCCUAAAACACCAACUUGAACUCACUACAGCUAGAACACAAACUGGGAUUAGAUACCCCACUAUGUUUAGCUAUAAACCUUAACUUACCCCCCCCCCCAUCGCCAGGGAACUACGAGCUAAAGCUUAAAACCCAAAGGACUUGACGGUGCCCCACAUCCAUAUAGAGGAGCCUGUCCUACAACCGACACCCCCCGUUCUACCUCACCACUUUUAGCUUAUCAGCCUGUAUACUUCCGUCGUCAGCUUACCGCAUGAGCGAGAUCAGUAAGCCUAAUAUCACCCUCUAACACGUCAGGUCAAAGUGCAGCAAAUAAAAUGGCAAGAGAUGGGCUACACUUUCUAACCUAGAAAACACGAAAGACUAUGUGAAACCAUAAUCAGAAGGUGGAUUUAGCAGUAAGAAGAAAGUAGAGCAUCCUUCUUAACCCGGCACUGGGGCAUGUACACACCGCCCGUCACCCUCUUCAACUAACCUAUUCUAGUUAUUAACAAACCCCCCCCCC